RNAcentral lists this long non-coding RNA (442 nucleotides) under Bos taurus (domestic cattle). RNAcentral describes it as "long non-coding RNA NONBTAT019667". The record is from RNAcentral. Lineage: Eukaryota; Metazoa; Chordata; Mammalia; Artiodactyla; Bovidae.
GCUCAUUUAAUCAAUGUAUUCAUGAUACUGAGCUAAUAUAUUAAAGGGAUGCCCCAGCCAAGAAUACACAGUGGACCAUGGCAUCCUGUCACUUGCGUGUGCCCUUACUGUCCUCAGUACAGUGCUACCAGCCUUUCAGAUUUUGCCCAGGACGGCUCUGGGAGUCAUUGCAAGGUCUUAACAUUUUCUUGAACAUCUAAAUUAUAAUUACAGAACAUAAUUUUAAUAAGUUUUAAUAUGUAGUGUAGUUAGUUGACCUGAAUGACUGGAAACAUUAUAAAAUCUUGCAUGUGUGUACAUGUUUAAUGACAUGUCUAAUUUAGUUUAGAAAGAAUCCACUAUUUUGAAACACAAGGUGAUCUCCUCUGUUUCCUUCUCAAUUUCUUUAUUCAUACUGCUGGAAUUACCAUAGUCAAAUGCCUUGCCAUGCCUCCAUGCUUAC